This 392-nucleotide ribosomal RNA is filed under the name uncultured bacterium. RNAcentral's name for it is "bacterial SSU rRNA". It matches the Rfam family "Bacterial small subunit ribosomal RNA", at positions 97 to 524 of the family's 1533-position model. The record is from RNAcentral.
GGCGCACGGGUGCGUAACGCGUGGGAAUCUGCCCUUGGGUUCGGAAUAACAGCGAGAAAUAGAUGCUAAUACCGGAUGAUGACGUAAGUCCAAAGAUUUAUCGCCCAGGGAUGAGCCCGCGUAGGAUUAGCUAGUUGGUGGGGUAAAGGCCUACCAAGGCGACGAUCCUUAGCUGGUCUGAGAGGAUGAUCAGCCACACUGGGACUGAGACACGGCCCAGACUCCUACGGGAGGCAGCAGUGGGGAAUAUUGGACAAUGGGCGAAAGCCUGAUCCAGCAAUGCCGCGUGAGUGAUGAAGGCCCUAGGGUUGUAAAGCUCUUUUACCCGGGAUGAUAAUGACAGUACCGGGAGAAUAAGCUCCGGCUAACUCCGUGCCAGCAGCCGCGGUAAU